Molecule: ribosomal RNA, 306 nt
Filed under: uncultured Planctomycetota bacterium
Lineage: Bacteria; Pseudomonadati; Planctomycetota
Description: bacterial SSU rRNA
Rfam family: Bacterial small subunit ribosomal RNA
Source: RNAcentral
AAUGAACGUUGGCGGCGUGGAUUAGGCAUGCAAGUCGAGCGAGAACCGUAGCAAUACGGGGACAGCGGCGAAAGGGAGAGUAAUACGUGGAUACCUACCCUCGGGCCCGGGAUAGCUGUGGGAAACUACAGGUAAUACCGGAUAACAUCUCCGGAUCAAAGGUGUGAUUCCGCCCGGGGAGGGUCCGCGUCCUAUUAGCUUGUUGGCGAGGUAACGGCUCACCAAGGCGAAGAUGGGUAUGGGGAUGUGAGAGCAUGAUCCCACUCACUGGGACUGAGACACUGCCCAGACACCUACGGGAGGCAG